RNA transcript from Diachasma alloeum, 3082 nucleotides. RefSeq lists it as uncharacterized. The transcript has 8 exons. NCBI's taxonomy places the organism in Eukaryota, Metazoa, Arthropoda, Insecta, Hymenoptera, Braconidae. The record is from RefSeq and is a predicted model, not a curated record.
UUCAUUUUGAUGAUUAUAAUCACAUGAAAUUUUUCUUCAUUAUAUUCCAAAGAAAUUUAGCAUUGAAAUAUCUAUUUUUUCUUAGAUUCUGGAGACGAUUCGGUAGGAUGACUCAUUUUCUGUCUUUUCCUACUACUUUCUGCUAAUACAUCCCUUGGUAAGGUUGAUGAUAUGUUCACAUCAUUAUUAGCAUUUCGUAAUUCCUUUCGUGACAUUAUCUGUUCAUCAAUUUCCCUAAUAUCUUCAAUUUUCGUCACAUCAAAAUACGGAGACAUUGCUAAAAUAGAAAUAUUAUUAAUGAUUACAAUAGUUCACUUCACAAGUUCUUAUCGAUAAUGUUAAAUGACUUUUAUAAAAGAGAAUUCGUUCAUAUAUAUAUAUAGACAUAAUAUUUAACAUAAUUUCUUAAUUUAUCAUCUCAAGAAUAAAUUAUCCAUUGAAUAAAUUCUAAAAAAAGUUCCAAAAAGAUUCUAAAAAAUCAGAAAAAAUAAAUGUGAGAAAGAGUAACAAAAAAAUACCACAAAACUAAUGAUCAAAGGAUAUUAGAUGACUGGGCACAUCAAAACAAUGUUAAAAAUAAUCAUUUAAAAUUUUCAGUAAAAAAUAAACAUUACCUAUUGUUUGUAAUUUCCCUAUAAUUUCAUGAUCACCGAUGUUAAAAGGACUCGAGAAAUUUGUAGCGAAAUUCUUUAUACGAAUGGGCAAUUUGAGCCUGUUAUCAGCAAUACAUCCAUAACAAGUGUUAUUCGCGGAAUUUCGUUGAUGAACUACGACUGCAAAAUUAGUUUUUAUGUAACCAAUAAUCCCUGAAAAUAAUUUAGACAAUUAAUAAUUUAUCAUUUUAUUAUUCAUUCUACUCAUGACAGGUGCAAUGAAAUCAACUUACGACAGGUGCGUUUGAAUUCCAUGAUUUCUGAUAAGGGCAUUGUUCUGAGAUCUUUCACUUCUAUUGUAUGCGUUCCCAGUUUAUUGACUUCUGUAUUCGAAUUGAUAUCCAAUUGCAACGGGAUAGUUUCACAAUUAUACCCCUCAUUAGUUAUAGUUGCUUUAGCGCCAUUAAUAUGUAUAACCUGUCGAUAAUAAUAAAUUUUCUUAAUUCUUUUCAUUUUCUUAUUUCAUUAAUUCAAUAGUAGGGGGUGGUGGGGCAAAACGGCCACAUUCAAUUUUUUUUUAUAUUGGAAAAUUAGAAAAAAAAACAGAAUCAAUGAGCCUUGAAUGCAAUCAAGGCUCAUCAAAAAGAGAACUUGUUCGACCAGUCCAAAAUCUCCUAAAAAAGUCAGAAAUCAUCUGGAAAACUCUCCAAUUAUCCGAGUAUUAUUGAAUACAUUUUCAAUAAUACUUGGUUGGUUAUAAGAAUGAAAUAUGCCUAAGUCAAGCAUGGCGGAAUAGAUUGGGGACAAAAAACGUUUCAUGGAUUUUUUUAAAGAGGAGGAACGGCUACAAUUGUUAUUAAUCAAGUAACCAAUGUACGUGAAAAUUGGUAAUGUCUACAGGAUAAAUUAAGGUUAUUAUUUUGAUAUAUGUUCAAUUUCUUUCACUUAUUUCAUUAGGUUCUGUCGAAUGAUAUCAACGAUCAAAUGUGAAUGAUCCAUUUCCAAAGAUCUGGAAAUGACUCAACUUCAAUAAGUACCUGAAAUGCAUAGUCUAGCAUUGGUCUAAUCAAAGAGAGUAAUCAAUUUUCAGCUUUCCAGACGUUCGCAUUGGUUUUCGCAUAUGCUCGGGAGUGCUCGGUAGAGCUGUCUGAAGGUAUUUUGGACUAUAUCGUUGGGAUGGCACCAGGGAUGACGAAAUGUUCAAUCAGUAGUAAUAACUGCAGGUAGUGAUGCAGUAAAGGCUACCCGCUCUUUCUUCCCCUAGGCCAAAAUCCAGAUAUGUUGGCUGGAUUUCGUCCAGACUGUGACGAAACUAUGGGACAAAGUCUUCAAAGAAGAAAAAUCACCUUUGAAACUACUUUUUUCUUGUUGGCUCCUUGGUCUGUGCAAACCAACAGACAUUGAAAAAGGACUGCAGAUAAUCAAAAAGGAUAUUGAUGACAAUGUACUGGAGUAUCGCGAAUCAUCCUACUUCUUUGAAUCUUUUAGAAGGGACUGGCAGCAUAGAAUCGCAUAUCUUGUUCCAGCCUUAAAUGCAUUUCAAUUGAGCAGAACAGAAGCACUUGGUCGCUAUGUUGCGGGAAGAUUACACGGCUGUAAGAAAAUCUUGCCAUUUAUUGAUGAGAUUGACAAAGUAUUACAAAAUGAAGUAGUAGUAAUGGGGAAAAAUAACCAGCGGGAAGCUAACAAGGUAGAUCGAGUAAAAAGCAUCAUAACCCCAACGGAUGAAAAGAGAAUCAUACGAACCUAUCAGGAGGUCUCCAGUGGCAGCAUUAUAGAAAGACCUUCGCAGAGUUUUUUGAAUAUACUUUCAGUAUACCAUUUACUUUCGGCAUUUACUCUACGAUACAAAUAAAAACUGACAAUCACCGGCAGCUUUUCUCAACCAGUGAUUUACAAAUUCGAGGUGGCCCCAAAAAUCUCCAAUUCUCAGGACUACAACAGCGACGCGUUGAAGCAGAGAAUAAAUCAGAUGAUCAUCAAUCCAAAUAUUUCAAACCUGAUAACACUACAAAAGCUCGAACGAACAUUGCUGACGAGACAGGAAACAGCGAUAACGAUCUGGAUGAUAGUAGGAUUAUGGACUUCUUCACGGCAGAAGAGCUCACAAAUGAUGAUAAUUCGAUGAAAACCACCCCUCAGAGUAUGAAUGGGGAAAUUGAAAUCCGACAUCCACUUUCUCUUCCCGACAGGAAUGAAAAUGAUAGUGGCAUCAUUGGAGACUCAGAGGGGAAUGAAAUUAGCAAUAAAAAAUCAUCGAAAAAAACUCAGCAGGAAGGCUGCGGGAUUCCUGACAAAAUUAUCAGUGAGACAGAUGAUGUUACCCCUGUGCGUCGUGUUUGUGAUGACAUCCGACAAGUACGAAGAUACCGAAAACAAAUACUUAUGGAGCGACCGUUUUUCGAGUGAAAAUACCGACCCAAGAAUAUGAAUAAUAAUGUAAAAUAAAAUAACAAUGUAUCAAAGUGAACUGACUCAUUUAUUCCCGA